AUUGAACGCUGACGGCAGGCCUAACACAUGCAAGUCGAGCGGAUGAAGGGAGCUUGCUCCUGGAUUCAGCGGCGGACGGGUGAGUAAUGCCUAGGAAUCUGCCUGGUAGUGGGGGAUAACGUCCGGAAACGGGCGCUAAUACCGCAUACGUCCUGAGGGAGAAAGUGGGGGAUCUUCGGACCUCACGCUAUCAGAUGAGCCUAGGUCGGAUUAGCUAGUUGGUGGGGUAAAGGCCUAGCAAGGCGACGAUCCGUAACUGGUCUGAGAGGAUGAUCAGUCACACUGGAACUGAGACACGGUCCAGACUCCUACGGGAGGCAGCAGUGGGGAAUAUUGGACAAUGGGCGAAAGCCUGAUCCAGCCAUGCUGCGUGUGUGAAGAAGGUCUUCGGAUUGUAAAGCACUUUAAGUUGGGAGGAAGGGCAGUAAGUUAAUACCUUGCUGUUUUGACGUUACCAACAGAAUAAGCACCGGCUAACUUCGUG
This 484-nucleotide ribosomal RNA is filed under the name uncultured bacterium. RNAcentral describes it as "partial 16S ribosomal RNA". It matches the Rfam family "Bacterial small subunit ribosomal RNA", at positions 30 to 507 of the family's 1533-position model. The record is from RNAcentral.